AACGAACGCUGGCGGCGUGGAUAAGACAUGCAAGUCGAACGGGAGUUUGCGGGUAGCAAUAUUCGCGAACUUUAGUGGCGAAAGGGUGCGUAACACGUAGCUACCUACCUCGAAGCGGGGGAUAGCUCGGCGAAAGCCGAAUUAAUACCGCAUGUGAUCGAGAGAUUAAAGCCGGGGCUCGCAAGACCUGGCACUUAGAGAUGGGGCUGCGGCCGAUCAGCUAGUUGGCGGGGUAACGGCCCACCAAGGCAAUGACGGGUAGCUGGCCUGAGAGGACGACCAGCCACACUGGAACUGAGACACGGUCCAGACACCUACGGGUGGCAGCAGUCGAGGAUUUUUCUCAAUGGGCGAAAGCCUGAAGGAGCGACGCCGCGUGGGGGAUGAAGGUCUUCGGAUUGUAAACCCCUGUCAUCCGGGAACAAUGCGCUCCACCUAGCACGUGGAUCGUUGAUAGUACUGGAAGAGGAAGACGUGGCUAACUCUGUGCCAGCAGCCGCCGUAA
Molecule: ribosomal RNA, 505 nt
Filed under: uncultured bacterium
Lineage: Bacteria
Description: partial 16S ribosomal RNA
Rfam family: Bacterial small subunit ribosomal RNA
Source: RNAcentral